CUCCUAGGCUCUGGUUCCAGCCCAGCCUCACGGACGCAGAGAUGGAAAUCCCAAAGUUGCUCCCGGCUCGCGGGACACUACAGGGCGGCGCCGGCGGUAUCCCCGCGGGUGGCGGCCGAGUCCACCGAGGCCCUGACCCACCGGCUGGCCAGGUCCCCACGCGCCGCCUCCUGCUGCUCCGGGGCCCUCAAGAUGGCGGGCCCGAGCGGCGGCGCGAGGAGGCCCGCAGGGCCUCACCGAGCCCUGGCCCAAGCCUGUUGGCGCCGAGGCCCGAUCAACCUAGCGGCGGCGGCGGCGGCGACGACGACUUCUUCCUGGUGCUGCUUGACCCGGUGGGUGGCGACGUGGAGACCGCGGGCUCGGGUCAGGCCGCAGGGCCUGUGUUGAGGGAGGAGGCCAAGGCGGGCCCGGGGCUCCAGGGGGAGGACAGCGGCGCGAACCCCGCGGGCUGCUCUGCGCAGGGCCCCCGCUGCCUGUCCGCGGUUCUCACUCCGGCCCCGAUCUCUGCCCCCAGCCCCGCCGCGGCCUUCGCGGGCAUAGUCACUAUCCACAACCAGGACCUGCUGUUGCGCUUUGAGAACGGCGUCCUCACCCUGGGCACGCCGCCACCACACGCCUGGGAGCCCGGGGCCGCUCCUGCCCAGAAGCCCAGGUGUCAGAUCGCCCCCCAAGCCGGGUUCCCGCAUGCCGCGCAGCCGGGUGACUGCCCAGAGCUGCCGCCCGACCUCCUGCUAGCCGAGCCGGCCAAACCCGCGCCUGCUCCGGCGCCCCAGGAGGAGGCGGAGGGCCUGGCCGCCGCCCUGGGCCCCCGCGGACUGCUGGGCUCUGGCCCAGGCGUGGUGCUGUACCUGUGCCCCGAGGCGCUGUGCGGGCAAACCUUCGCCAAGAAGCACCAGCUGAAGGUGCACCUGCUGACGCACAGCAGCAGCCAGGGCCAGAGGCCCUUCAAAUGCCCCCUGGGUGGCUGCGGCUGGACCUUCACCACCUCUUACAAGCUCAAGAGGCACCUGCAGUCGCACGAUAAACUGCGGCCCUUCGGCUGCCCUGCGGAGGGCUGUGGCAAGAGCUUCACCACCGUGUACAACCUCAAGGCGCACAUGAAGGGCCAUGAGCAGGAGAACUCAUUCAAAUGCGAGGUGUGCGAGGAGAGCUUCCCCACGCAGGCCAAACUCGGCGCCCACCAGCGCAGCCACUUCGAACCCGAGAGGCCUUACCAGUGCGCGUUUUCUGGCUGCAAGAAGACAUUUAUCACAGUGAGUGCUCUGUUUUCCCAUAACCGCGCCCAUUUCAGGGAACAGGAACUGUUUUCCUGCUCUUUCCCUGGCUGCAGCAAGCAAUAUGACAAGGCUUGUAGGCUGAAAAUUCACCUGCGGAGUCACACCGGCGAGAGACCUUUCCUUUGUGACUUUGAUGGCUGUGGCUGGAACUUCACCAGCAUGUCCAAACUCUUAAGGCACAAAAGGAAGCACGACGAUGACCGGAGGUUCAUGUGCCCUGUGGAAGGCUGUGGGAAAUCUUUCACGAGGGCUGAACAUCUGAAAGGCCACAGCAUAACCCACCUGGGCACAAAGCCUUUCGUGUGUCCUGUGGAAGGCUGCUGUGCCAGGUUCUCUGCUCGCAGUAGCCUCUACAUUCACUCCAAGAAACACCUGCAGGAUGUGGACACUUGGAAAAGCCGUUGCCCGAUCUCCUCUUGUGAUAAACUCUUCACAUCCAAGCACAGCAUGAAGACGCACAUGGCCAAAAGGCACAAGGUGGGCCAGGAUCUCUUAGCUCAGCUAGAAGCAGCAAAUUCUCUUACACCCAGCAGUGAACUUGCCAGCCAGAGACAGAAUGAUCUCAGUGAUGCAGAGAUAGUGUCUCUCUUCUCUGAUGUACCUGACAGUACUUCUGCUGCAUUGCUGGACACAGCAUUGGUGAACUCUGGAAUCUUGACUAUUGAUGUGGCUUCUGUGAGCUCAACUCUGGCAGGGCACCUCCCUGCUAAUAAUAAUAAUUCCGUAGGGCAGGCUGUGGACCCUCCGGCCUUGAUGGCCACCAGCGACCCUCCUCAAAGCCUGGAUACCUCUCUCUUUUUUGGAACGGCGGCCACUGGUUUUCAGCAAAGCCCCUUAGAUAUGGAUGAGGUCUCAAGUGUAAAUGUGGGGCCAUUGGGAUCUCUGGGCUCUUUGGCCAUGAAAAACUCCAGUCCAGAGCCCCAGGCUUUGACACCCAGCAGUAAGCUAACAGUGGACACAGAUACUCUGACUCCUUCGAGCACCCUUUGUGAAAACAGUGUCUCAGAACUACUGACACCAACCAAAGCGGAGUGGAGCGUACAUCCUAACUCUGACUUCUUUGGACAAGAGGGAGAAACCCAGUUUGGAUUCCCCAAUGCAGCAGGAAACCAUGGUUCUCAGAAAGAAAGAAAUCUUGUCACUGUGACUGGCAGCUCAUUUUUGGUAUGAACCAAUUCUAUUCAUUCCUUGCCAUGUGGCUAACUUUUAUUACAGUCAAUUUUGAGGAUAUUCUGGACUAAAUAUUUAAGUGGAGUCAUUUCUUUUUGGUUUGCAAAAAGAGCACAGCCCUGGACUACAAGUUUGGAGAUCUAAAUUCUGAUCUUGAGUCUGGAACUGACAAGUUGUGUGACCCUGAGCAAGUCACUUAACCUAUCUGAGCCUUAAUUUCCUUAUUUAUAAAUUGUGGUGGUUUGAACACAUUGCUCAUAAGGUCUUUUCAGUUUUGUUUUUUUGUGUGUGUGAUUUUGUGCUUUUUCUUGAAAAUUUUCGGGCAUUUUGCAAUUAUUAUUGUUUGUACUUGUAAUGAGAAGCGGUUUGAGCCCUGUAGCACUAAAUAAUGAAAGAUGGAGGAACUGGUGUUUUACAUUAAAAAUUUAAUGGAAAUUUUACACAGUACGAAAAUCUAAUGAUAGAGCUAAAAAAAAAAAAGAGCUAAAAAUCGGGGUUGGUUCUUCUUAGCUGUUUAUCAUUCUAACCUUUUUUUAAAUGAUGAAGGUAUGUUUUUGUUGUGGAAAAUACAAGGGCUUUUGUUAUCACUCAGACCCAGAGUGAAAUGUUUGCUUUGUGGUUUUGAAUAAGUUGGCCUUUAACAAAUUAUUUAGUCUCUCUUAGCCUCAGUUUUCUAUCUGUAAAAUGGUCAUAGCAAUGUGAACAUAUGUGUUACAUCCUAGACUUAUUUUUCUACCCCGGUAGGUUGUAUUGAAAGGAAAAUGUUAUAUGUGUUUCAGCAUGUUUUGGUGAAUCUUCAUUCCCUUUCCUGCCCCUUGUUUUCCCUCCUCAAAGGGGAUAAAUUAGCACAAAUUAGUAUCAGGAUUGUGCAGGAAAUAAACGUUUGUGAAGGUUAAGAAAGAGGAAAAGGAACUUAUUUCUUCAACAGAUUAAGAAGGAUUUUUCUCCACACAGUUCUUUUGUGGCAUUGGCCACAUGUCCAUUAGACCAGUCUGAUAGUAUCUUUGGUCUGCAUUCAAAGCCAGCUCAUGCAAUGAGUAUUCAGCCUAUUCUUCCAAGACAAUCUGGAAUCUGGACAUAGACCAGAGGGAGAUUUUUCUCCCCUCUGUGCCCUAGAGAGCUCAUUGCUGGCUUACUCUUAGAGUUGAAAUGAGAGAGUUUUGUCUGCAUUUUGAGUAGAUACCAUCUAUCUUAUGUGAGUAGCAUUUUACAAUUUAGCACUUUCACAACUAUUAUAUUUGAUCCUCACAAUCCUGUGAGGUAAUUAUGGCAAAGCCAGAUCUACAAUUCAUAUUAAAAUUUACCUAGCUCAUAUUACAAAUGUAUUUCACUUAGUAACUAGUGUGUGUGUGUGUGUGUGUGUGUGUGUGUAGCUCAAAACAAAGAGGAAAUAUUUCUCACUCUCCCAUUCGACUCUUGAGUUUCAUGACUAUUUUAUUUAUAACUGUUUGCUGCCUCCCACCUUAAUUGAUUUCUCUUACAUUCUUUGUACUCCACGCUAUUUCCUUGUAGGUGUACACCAGUCCUUGCCAUGAAUCUCUUUUACUUACAUUUGAAUUAGACACGUCUCUUUCAUGGUCACCAUCUCUCAGCCAUUCUUCUUAUGGCCCAUUUUUCAGUCACAGUAUUACUGCAAGUAUGUGUGUACAUUGAGAAGUUAUUUUGUGGAUUUAGAUGGCAAUGUGUUUAUACAUGAAUCAGAUAAUAAUGGAGACAUUUUAUAUAACGCGUUAGUGAGAAGUAGUUCUACUUUUCCUUUUUUACAAUGUGGUCCUGGUAGCAAACACUAUUAGUUGCUUUCAACUAUUGUAACCCAGUAUUGUUUACAUGUGGAUACUUGGGGAAAAUUAUUAUGGCACUUUAACAGUGCACUUUAAUAUAUACCACCUUGAUAUAUAUCUUUACUGUCUUUAUAAUUUUUAAGUUGGUUGUACUUAUUCAAUGAAAAAGCAAAAAAUACACAUAAAUUUGUAAUUCAAAGAAAUAUAAUUUUGUGUCUAACCAUUUAACAGUUCUCCCUUAGUAUUUUAGAAAGAUUUUAAGCCAUUUUAGAAAUGUGUUGUCAUUAGUUAAGUCCUCUUAAAUAGAUUAUUAUUAUUUUCCUAUAGAAAAUGCAGAGGCCUGAGGUGAACGCAAGGGUCAUAGGCAUCCAUUAAGAUACAUAACUAUGUAGAUAUUUUAAAACUCUGUCACAUUGUUUCCUUAAUCCCUCAGACCUAUUUCCUCCCAUGAAAACUAUCAUAAGCUACGCUUUUGUUAUGGUCUAUAGAAUUUCAAAGGACAAAUUGUUUUUUUUUUUUUUUAUGAUAAAGAUCUUGUGAUUGUCCGUGGGCUCACAUGGUUUCUUUUGUUCAAUUUUUUCAAAAGAUUUCUUUUUCAAUACUGUUGUCCCACCAUGAUAGUUGACAUGGCAUGUAAUUACAGACAGAAGUGUGACUGUAAACAUAUUAGUGUUUCUGUUAGUGUUGGCAUAAGCUUGCCUUUUUAUUUUGGAACAUGAUUUAAUUUUAUCUCAUUUGCCUUUUGUUUAUCUUCAGUCCUUGAUUUAUUAACAUUUUGCCAAUUGAAAACACAAUAAAAAAUGCCUUGCAGGAAGGUUUGAUUCUGGGGGAUCCUGAUGAGCAUAUUUAUCAUGAGUUUAAAUAUGUUAAUCUUGACAUUUUUACCAGUUAUCUCAUUAUAGUGUUACAUAAUUGAAAGCCUUGAAUAGUAAAAGUGAAACUUGUUGGAAUAUGAGGAUCAUCUUUCUCUGUGGAUUAAAUGCUUCAUAUUCUCAUCCAAGAAAAAUAAGGUAAGGCAUUAGUAUAACAGGGUAUUUUUGACUGUUCCUUGAUUCCACAUAAAGCAGUGAUUAACUCCCUGAUGGGAAUAUUCAUAAUCCCUUGGUAAUUAUUGGUAUCAAACAGAUCCACUUGAUAACUUCAUGAUGAUAAAAACUAAAUUAAAUGCAACUCACUCAAAAUAUGUGACAAUUGAAAUGUAAGGCCGAACUGAAAUUUAUAUAUAUAUAUAUAACUGAAAUUUGUAUAUAUUAUAUAUGUAAUUGAAAUUUAUAUAUAAUAUAUAAAUUUAUAUAUUAUAUAUAUUUUUAUAUUUAUAUAUUAUCUAUAUAAUAAUUAUAUAUAAAAAUUUAUAUAUUUACAUAUAUAUAUCGCUUUUUUGAAAAGUAGGUUUGCUUAACAAUUUUUUAAAAAGCAAAUUGUAUGCUAGGGUUUAAAGCAGGAGUCCCCAACCCCAGGCCACGGACAGGUACUAGUCCAUGGCGUAUUAGAAACUGUUCUGCAUAGCGGGAGGUGAGUGGCGGCCAGGGAGCAAAACUGAGCUCCACCUCUUGUUAGAUCAGCAGUGGCAUUAGAUUCUCAUAUAGGAGCACAAACUCUAUUGUGAACUGCGCAUGGGAGGGAGCUAGAUUGCACACUGCUUAUGAGAAUCUAAUUCGUAAUGAUCUGUCGCUGUAUCCCAUCGCCCCAAAAUGGGACCAUCUAGUUGCAGGAAAACAAGCUCAGGGCUCCCACUGAUUCUACAUUAUGGUGAAUAUGUAAUAAUAAUAUAAAGCACACAAUAAAUGUCAUGUGCUUGAAUCAUUCCAGAGCUAUCCCCCCAUCUGUGGAAAAAUUGUCUUCCACUAAACUGGUCUCUGGUGCCAAAAUGGCUAGGGACCAGGUGUUUAGGGAACAUAUUGUUUAAGCACCAAAAAAACUAUAAAAAGCAAAGCAAUCAUUAAAAAUGAUUUUUAUAUGUUUAUGAAAUCUAAAUAGAUGGGGCCUUUGGUAACAAUUUUUAAGCUAUGAUCCCCUCUGCCUAUUUCAAGUUAAUUUACUGACUCCUUACAGAAUGCAAGGUAGAAUACUAGGGAUAUAGAUAAGAGUAAAAUAUGAGCCAUAUCUUAAUUUUGGAGAGGACGUAGAAAUUCACCUAUUAGCCAUUUUACAACUAAACAAAAUCAACGAACAUGUUUUCAGGCACCAAAUGAAUGGCUUGGAGUGAAAGGAGAGGCAGGAGCUGGAGUUUAAUGGGUGGUUACAUUUAGUUAUAUAAAGAAGAGUGUUGGUGAAUUCCAGCCUGGGAGAAAAGCACAAAUAACUCAAAAUGGAAUUAGCCACACAACACUGUGAAAAAUAGCCUAACUCAAAUUCAGGGCUCAUAUUUGGUAAGUGCUGGGUGUUAGGGUUAGACUGCCAGUAUGGAGCCAAAUUCUGGAAGGCAAUACAAACCAGUCAGAGUAGAUAGGACUUUAUUCUGGAUAUGAUUGAAAGCCAGUGAAGAUAUUUGAGAAGGGAAGUCAAAUGUGAUUAUAUAAAAAUACUAAUAUAGUGGACAUGUAUAAUGUGGAUACGAUGGGGGAAAUAGUGCAGUCACUUAGGAGUCGGUUGUAAUAAUUCCGGAGUGUUGUGAUGAAGGCUUGGACUGAAGUGGUGACGAGAAGAGACAGAGAUAUAGGAGUUGUGUCCUAAUUGAGGAAAUGAAUAUAAUUUGGUGACUUACUGAAUGUAUAGGACACCCAUCAGAAAGAGAAAGGAAGAUUAAAAAUGUCCCUAAGGAUUUCUUGGAUACUAUAAAAAUUACACUUGAUUAAUAUGAACAAAGUUGUGUAAUAAAAUAUUUUCAGGAAUAUUUAUGGAAAGAUGAUUAGGACAUGCUUAAUUUAUCAGGAAGUGAUAAACUAUGGCUAUUUCUGAAUAAAUCAUGCAUAUUCUAGAUUAUCCACACUGUUAGAUGACUUUAUUUUGUUUGGCUCCCUCAUAUGUUCUUAGAUUCACAUUUGAUGUUUAUAAUGUUAUUUCCCUUUGAGAAUCUGCAGGACUCUUCAACCUUGUACAAUAUAAGCCCAGACUACUCUGUAUCAAAAUGAGCUAUGUCGUCUCUGGCUGCCAUUUCUUUCUUACUACUGCUUUCUGCUACUACAGAUAUUCAACAGAUUGGAAUCCCGGAUAUAUUAAGUAUAAAACCUGAGAGUGAUCUUUUGGAAAUUAUAUAAAACAAACAUUUUGUUUCCAAAUGAGAAAACCAUAGCAUAUAAAUAAAUGGUUUUACACCUGUAAUUUUUGAAAUAGUUUUUACUUUCCUUAUAUUGGACACACAAGCAAAUUUUAAUUUUCUGAAACAAAAAAAAAACCAAGACUUUAAUUAGAAAGUAAUUAUUUUACAUGGGUAUGCUAGCUGAAAAUAAGGCUAUAAAGACUUCAUUUGAUACUUGGGAAUGACAACUACUGGAGUUGAACAUGGAGAAUCCUGAAACUUCACCAAUCAUGUGAUGAGGGAUAGUGUUUCUCAUCAAGCAAGUCUCUCACAUUCUGAAUAAAGUAUAACUGACUGAAUACAUUUGGAAAGGAAACAAAGCCCAUUAUAAAAAAAUAAAGCUCACUAUAGUGAUAAAUAAUAUUUUGUGUUCUCACCACAAAAAGUAUAUGAGAUAAUGCAUGUGUUAAUUAGCUCUAUCUAGUCAUUCCGCAGUGUUAUACAUAUUUUCAAACAUAUUGUAUAUGAUAAAUAUACACAAUUUUUGUCAGUUUAAAAAAUAAAUACAUUUAACAAUAAAAAUUGCACAUGGUAGCCAAAAUGAAAACAUUUCAAUUCGAAGCCAGUCUUUCCUUGGAAUAAAGUCAAGAAAUGAUUCAUCUUUGUCAAGACUUAUUUCCCUUUCCUGUGUACACAGUAGAGGGAUAUAACUGCAGUGUGAAAUAACAUAAUACUGCAUGUGGAAUAAGGAGGCUUCUCUCAUGUCUAUUUGUGGGGAAAUUAGCCAAAUUAGAGAGCUAAAAUGGAAAUUCCACAGGCAAUGACUCAGUGAAUAGAAGUUCAUUCCAGGCAAGGUCCAAUUUUAGAAUGUGCUGCUAGGCAGAGUGUGAACUAUUUUUCCUCCCGAUUUGUGUUGGCAUUAGUUCAUUAAUGCUAAACUUGGCCUUUGAUAUUUCCAAAGAGAUGCAACAGCUUUCCCUUUAAAGUCAUUUUAUGUUCUUGUGCUUUCUGGAACUUAUUUUAUUUUAAAUUAUUAAUAAUAAUAGGAAUUGCAUCAAAUGUUAUGAUAUGCUAGUAGAAGAGGGAAUAAGCCAAAAUUUAUUAUUUUUGCCUCACUUUCUAAAAUAGUGUUGAUUAAGUAAAACUUGCUUUUCUCUUUUUUAUGUGAGGGCUUAUUUUGCCAUUUGGGUAUGUCACUUUCAUUUAUGUACUUAGGAAGCAUUAGGAUUUAAGAACAUUGUUAAAAUAAGUCUUUAUAACUUUAGAAAUGUGGUUACUUUGGAAAUGGAAAAACCUAGACUAGCCAUACUACUUUUUUAGACAACGGAAGACUUACGGAAAUGAAUGAAAGGCAAAUUCAAUUGGAAAAAAGAGAUUAAUUUCUUAUUAAAUCAAAUUCUAUAUUUAUAAAUUUUGCUGAUAAAUCCACUCUUGUAUAUUAUUCAGCAUGUUUUUAUUCAGUUCAUUUUUAGAAUAGUUUAUCUACAGCAGUAAGUCUAUGUGAAAUCUAAAAAUUUGACUAACUUGUAUUAUAUUUCAUUUUUACAGUAGGCAGUGGAUAGUCAUUUUCACUGCUAAAUCUAUGUACCAAAUCUACUGAGUAUUGCAAAAACACACUGGAUAGAAUAUUAUUUGCAAAGUGAUUCUUGUUGUCAUUCACCAUAGAUUCUUUUGGGACAAAAAAAUUCUUAAAGAUAAAAUGUUGCCUGUAUUUAUAAAAAUUAUUGAGGAUUCUUCCCAAAAAUAGAGAUGAGAAAAUAAAAUUUAAAUGAUCAAAUGAUUAAGUUUGCUCUAUAGCCAAGUGUUUUGGUCUAAGUGUCUUUGAUUGAAAACGUUUGGAUAAAAGCACAGUGACAAUUAUGAAGCAUGUCCAGAAUUUUCCGGUUACAGUUAGACAUAAAAAAAAUCAAAGAGCCAUUAUUGCAACAUUGGUAAUCUAUCUGUCUAAUACAAUCUAUCUUUUGAAAGUUUCUUGAAGACAGUAAUAAGUAAAGAGAAAAGUUACAGAUUUGGGCCCUGACUAUGAAAUGCCAAAAUGUUAUGAAAUUGGAGGCUAUUGAUUAUUUUACAUGAUAAUUUUAGUAGUUGGUGUUUUUAAGUAUUUCCACUCCAAGUAUUUUUUAAAGUAUUUUUAAACUAAAUGUGAAUCUUUGAUUUAUGCCUUUAAAAUUGCUAAUUGAUUUUUAUUUUAUUUUUAUUUUCAAGAUUGUUGGAUUAUUCAAUUCAAUAAGCUUCCAGAUAACAACCUAUAGAUUGUUAGUUGUGAGGCUAUAUUGUGUAUUUUAAUUAUUUCUUGAUAUAAUUUUAAGUUACCAUGUAUUGAAUUAUAACUGGCCCUAAAACAUUUUUUAAUUUGUAAAUUUUAUUUUUAUAACUUUUAUUGAAAUAUAACAUACUUUAAAAAUAUAACAUAUAUUACAAAAUUGCUUUAUUAAUUUUCAAAAAAUGAAUACACCUAUAAAACCACUACUCAGAUGAAAGGAUUACCAGAACCUCAAAGCUCCCUCAUAUUCUCUGCUAGUCACUACCAUCCUGUACCAAAAUAAAUAACUUGAUUUUCAAAACCAAAAGUUAGAUGUUUUUUAUUUGCUUGUUUCUCUUCAUUUAUUAUUAUUAUUGAGAUAAAAUUCACAUAAUAUAAAAUUCACCAUUUUAAAAUAUACAAUUCAGUCAUUUUUAAAACAUUCAUAAUGUUGCUGAGUCAUCACAACUGGGUAAUUCCAGAACACCUCUGCCACUCUGAAAAGAAAUCCCAUAAUCAUUCUCCAUUCCCUCAUCUCCAGGAAACCACUAAUUUACUUUCUGUCUCUAUGGCUUUGUCUAUUACGCAUAUUUCAUAUGAAUGGAAUUGUAUAAUAUAUGCUUUUGUGUCUGGCUUUUCUUAGUAUGAUGUUAUUAAAGUUCAUCCAUGUUUUAGCACAUAUCAGUACUUCACUCUUUUCAUGGCUAAAAUGUAUCGCAUUGUAUAGCUAUACUGCAUUUUAUUUGUUAAUUAAUUAAAGGACAUUUGAGUUGUUUCCA
Molecule: RNA transcript, 10427 nt
Organism: Pongo pygmaeus (Bornean orangutan)
Lineage: Eukaryota; Metazoa; Chordata; Mammalia; Primates; Hominidae
Gene name: zinc finger X-linked protein ZXDA-like
Exons: 2
Source: RefSeq, a predicted model, not a curated record